GCCCUUAGAAUUUAUUAAAGGUGAUACCUGCCCAGUGGUAAAAUGUAUUUCAAUUUUAAUUAAUUGAGAUUUUAUUAAACGGAUGCGGUAACUCUGACUGUAAUAAAGUAGCAUAAUAAGUUGUCAUUUAAUUGAUGGAGUGUAUGAAUGGUUUAACGAGCUUUCCACUGUCUUGAGUAAAAGUUUUUUGAAAUUAAAAUAAUAGUGAAGAUUCUAUUUAAAAUCGUAAGACGAAAAGACCCUAUAGAGCUUUACUAUAAUUUUUUAUAAUAUGUUUAAUAUAUUUAUUUAUUAUUGGAAAAUUGGUAGUUUAGUUGGGGCGAUUGUCUUUUAUAAAUAACAAAGAUAAGCAAAAUUAAUAAAUUGAUUUAUUGUAUAAUAAAAGCAUUUAACAAUUAUAAUCAUAGGCUAUAUUGACCCGUUGAAGAAAAUUAAAAUUUUCAGCGAUUAAUUAAUAAAAGCUACCUUAGGGAUAACAGGAUAAUUUUGUUUUAGAGUUCAUAUCAAUUUCAAAGUUUGUCACCUCUAUGUUGAAUUAAGAUAUCCUAAUGAUGCAGAAGUUAUUAAGGGUAGGUCUGUUCGACCUUUAAAAUCUU
Molecule: ribosomal RNA, 596 nt
Filed under: Corymorpha gracilis
Lineage: Eukaryota; Metazoa; Cnidaria; Hydrozoa; Anthoathecata; Corymorphidae
Description: partial large subunit ribosomal RNA
Rfam family: Bacterial large subunit ribosomal RNA
Source: RNAcentral